AAUGCCCGCAAGGGUGAUCCAGCCAUCCCGCGUGCAGGAAGACGGCCCUAUGGGUUGUAAACUGCUUUUAUCAGGGAAGAAACCCCUUGACUUGUUGAGGGUUGACGGUACCUGAUGAAUAAGCACCGGCUAACUCCGUGCCAGCAGCCGCGGUAAUACGGAGGGUGCAAGCGUUAUCCGGAAUCACUGGGUUUAAAGGGUGCGUAGGCGGCUAUAUAAGUCAGAGGUGAAAGGCUACGGCUUAACUGUGGGAUUGCCUUUGAUACUGUAUAGCUGGAAUCAGGUUGAAGUUAGUGGAAUGCGGCAUGUAGCGGUGAAAUGCAUAGAUAUGUCGUAGAACACCGAUUGCGAAGGCAGCUAACUGGGCUUGAAUUGACGCUGAGGCACGAAAGCGUGGGGAUCGAA
This 405-nucleotide ribosomal RNA is filed under the name uncultured bacterium. RNAcentral's name for it is "bacterial SSU rRNA". It matches the Rfam family "Bacterial small subunit ribosomal RNA", at positions 370 to 772 of the family's 1533-position model. The record is from RNAcentral.